This 6462-nucleotide long non-coding RNA is filed under the name Vigna radiata. Its description in RNAcentral is "long non-coding RNA (VRAD_LNC000007)". Lineage: Eukaryota; Viridiplantae; Streptophyta; Magnoliopsida; Fabales; Fabaceae. The record is from RNAcentral.
AACGGUGGAAUUGUCCACAUCUUCAGCAGAAGUUCCGUGUGAAGACUGAGAGUGUGUCAUAAAUAUUUAGUAUGGUUAUUUACGUUUCAGUCCACUCCAUGGAGUACAAAAGCACCAUCCAUGUUAGAGUAUGAGCACACAUAACAGAUUGAAGAAGUGAGAGAAAGAGAUGAAGAAGGUGUUUGUCUUUGCAAUAGUGGUGGUGGCAGUGGUGGCGAUGGAGGUGGCUCCGACGGCAGAAGGUGUGACUUGUAGCCCUGUGGAGCUGAGUCCUUGUUUGGGAGCAAUAACUUCGUCAUCUCCACCAACAAGUACAUGCUGCCAGAAAGUGAGAGAACAGAGGCCAUGUCUCUGUGGUUACCUCAACAACCCUAGUCUCAAGAAUUACGUCAACUCUCCUGGUUCCAGAAGGGUUGCUAGUUCAUGUGGGGUUCCCUUCCCAACUUGUUAAUCUAAAUAAAAUCAUGUUAAGUAUUCUACCAACUUUUACAUCUCUGCUACGAUAUUGCGGUAGUUUUUUCAGUGAUCCAAUUAUAUGUAUGUAAUAAACCGUCUGUUUCAUUUGAUGGUGUUGCAGCGUGCUGGUUAGCUUUAAGAAAUUAUAAUAUGAUUGUGUUGUAUGUGUGAAUGAAAUGUUGAAGAAGAUAAUGGAAUAAAUUUGGUUCUUGAUUCUGUCAUUUUAUCUUCUUCUUCAGAAAAAAUAAGUGAUUGAUGAUCGUUUUUGACGGGCCACUUUGAAAAGGUCUAUGAACAGUUUAGGACUUUGGAGUCAACUGGUCAAGAUGAAUAAAGUACUGUUUGAAUUGACAUGUUUUUCAAUUUUCAAUUACAGAUGGCAGUUAUAAGAAUAUAUAAAUGUCGUUAAUUUUUUUUUUAAGAUAUAUGGAAAUAUGAGAGUUUUGAAAUAAAAUUCAAAUGAAAGGAAUGAUGGUGUAGUAAUAAUUAAUGUGUUGUAUUUUGGCACUUAAGUCUUUUUAAUUAGUAUGAAGACGUGGUUAGUAAUAAUGCUGGUGCAGAAAGAAAGUCAUUGUACAAGAUCAUGGUACUGGGCUAAAGCCCAUAAGUGAAAUUUUACUUCAAAUUAAGACCAAGUAAGAUUAUUUUUUUAUCAUCAUCAACAAUAUUAUUUUUUUUAUCAAUGUAAACUAAUGCUUUUUCAAAUUUAAUGUUGGUUAAAGUUUUUUUUUUCACACAUCAUUUGUAAAUUUUAUUUGAUAUCAAACACAUUUUGUUAUCAUGUCAAUUAAUAAGGUUGAUUAAAAUGUUUUCCUCAUCAAUAUUGAUAAGAGUUUCUUUUAUCCAACAAACACUAACAUUGAUGAUUUUUUUUUUUUAUCAAUUACUAAUAUCUAUCAACAUCUUUCCAUCAAUGUUGUUGAAACUCUUUUAAUGGAACUAAAUUAUAUUUUGCGCUUAAAAUUUCAAAUUCUUUUUUUUUUAUUUGUCUAGUUCUUUUAAAAAAACAAAUUGUAAUUAAAAUUCAAUAAACUAAAUUAACUUAUCCACAGAAAACAUUUAAAAAAUGAAAUAAUUAAAAUAUACACCAUUAAGUCUCAUAAAAGAUUUUUAAAUUUUUCUAUCCUAAUAGAAAGUAAAACUUAUAGAAGUUGUCUAACGAAAUCAUAUUUCAUUCUUUGAAGUAAACUUAGUUGAUACGUCGGUUUGGCAUAACAAAAUAAUAAUUAAUAUCAAUGGUCAAUAAUUUACGAACAAAAAGUUAAAGAAAAGACUUAGGCUUAAAACAUGUUAUUAGUUCGAUGGAACAUUUUCAAACAAAUAGUCAAGAGAAACAAAUAAUCAAAGGAAAAUGAAUAAAAAAACUUUUAAAAGUCAUAUAUGGAUGUACACCACACAAAAUUACAAGAGAAUCAUCCUUCGACAUUUAUUACUUUUGAAUAUACUGUAUUUUAUUGAACUCUGCAUGUAUAUCCUGAACAUUGAGUUUAACAUUAAAGUGUCUUAUAACAAAACUAAACAACGAAAGAAAAAAAAAAAACUUUGAAGAAGAAGAAUAAGCAUUGACAAGAGCAAUCAACCGCACAUAUCAAGUAUUAGUGUAUCUUUAGUCCUACAUACAAUAAUAACUUCCAAAUUAGUUUAAACCAGUUGUUAUAUACAUUAUUUUAUAUAUAUAUAUAUAUAUAUAUAUAUAUAUAUAUAUAUAUAUAUAUAUAUAUAUAUAUAUAUAUAUAUUAUAUAUAUUUAUUUAUUUAUUUAUUUAUUUAUUCUUGUAAUAAUUAAUAUAUUGCUAAAGAACAUAGUUAAUGUAUCUGCUACAAAAUAUAAAAAUUGCAUAAAUCUAUUUUUUUACGCAACAAGAAAAUUGUUACAAUCAAUUUUUUUUAACGUUGCACAUCUUGUUCUGCAAACUAUGGUGGUGGUUAUGAACAUUGGACUUCUUUCCUCCGUAGGUUAGGAGAUUUUCUUUUUCACUUAUCUAUACUUUUUCUACACCUAUAAAUAAAUGUUUUUUCUGACAUCCAAAAAAUAACACACAUAUCUCUUCUUUUAUUCUCACUUUUAUUUUCUCUUCUCUUUAUCUUUGUUCCUUAAUUUAUAUUUACUCUUUAAAAAUAUUUUUUGCUAGUUUUGAAUUUUUCAAUAUAAAGACAUUCUUAUUGUAUCCUAGAAAAUUUACAUAAAUAAAUAUUUAAAGACAAUAAUCAUGUACGUUUCAAGAAGUUUAUUUAAGCUGUGUUCUUAAUAAUUUUUUCAACAAUACAUAUAUUUUUUGUUUAAUUUAUAUCUUUCUAAAAUCUAUUAAUAAAACAAUACUUAUUAUAGACAUUUGUGAAAUAUUCGACUCAAGUUAUAACCCUACAAAAACAAUUAAAAAUUAAUGGCUCGUAACAAUGAAACGAAUCAGUAGUAAAACUAACUUUGUGUAUGCUGAGAUUAAAGUUGGAAAAGUUCUUUUUUUUUUCGAAAGUAAAAAAAAAUAAAAAUCAUUCUUCAUUUGUUAUGUUGGAAUUCUUUAAUGUAGUUUGAAAUCUAUAAAAGUAGUGUUGAAACGUCAAUAGGUAGAUUGUGUAGAAGUUUGAAAUGGGGUUUGAUAAUGGAAAUAUUUUGUGACAGAAUCUGUGGUUGAUGUGAUUACCUUCCUCGAACGUUGAAACAUGGAUGAGUGAAGAGUUUAAGAAUGUUAUCCCAGAAAGAGGUUUUCUGUUUGAAUUUUCCUUACUUGUGAUAAAGUCAUUGUUAAUUCGACCACAUCAUAGCAAAACGUAGGUAUUUUCCUUGCAACGUAAUGUCAGAAUUGAUUCAAGCCAUAUAAUUACACCAUGAGGUUACGUAAUUAUACUUUACAGUUUUUAUAGUUAGUUAACUUACUAUAGAAGGAUAAAUAAACUCAUAUUUUAUUAGUAUUAUUUAAAUUUGUCGUAAUUUUUAUAAUAUCACCUUUUUGUUUUAUGUUUAUUUUUUAUAAACAAAAAUGUUUGGUAAAUAUUUAGAUAGAUAUUAUUAUUAGAGUUGGAUAUUUAAGUUUGUCUGUUUAAAUCGACACUGGCAAUAAUCCUGUUAAAGGAAAUUGUGUCCUUAUAAUUAACAUUUGAAAUGAGUUGAACUUUAAUAGAUUGUAUCCAUCUCUAUAAAUCUAGCUAGUUAUACAAACUUAUUCAUAUUCACAAAAAUAUAAUUAAAAAUAAUUUUAAUAUGCUUCAAAUAUAACUUAAGUGCUUUUAAAAUAAAAUAAAUUUAAAUAAAAAUUUUAAUUUCAAAGUCAUUAGACAAUAAAUUACAUAAAAUACAAAAUAGUUUCAAAACAAUACAUAAAAAAAUAAAUUAAAAAAUUAAAGAAGAGUAAUAAAACUUUAGUUAGUGUGGCUUUAAGGAUCAAGAGAAGAAAACUUAUUAAUGUCAUAAUUAAAAAAAGUUAAAUAGAUUCAUUGGUCCCUAUUUUUGCUGGUUUUCUUCAACUAGGUCCUCGUUUUUUAAAAAUAAUCAAUUCGGUCCCUGAAUUUGUAAAAUUAAACCAAUCAAGGACAUUCCGUUAACUUUCCUGGACGGCGUUAAAAGUAGUCUAUGCUGGCAACGUUAGUUGGCAUUUUAUGAACAGGUGUCCCUUAUGCACGACCAGGAAAGGAAAAUCAUAUUGCCUUCAACAUGGCUUCAAUAGACUUCAAUACCUGCAUCCAGAAGACACUAUAGGAAAAUAGAAGCAUGAAUCAGAGGCAGUUUCCUUCGGCCUAUGACGCCAAACAUAAUGCCAAUAAGUGGUGGAAUCCAUCAACAGGCAUCAUUCAAAAAAGAGAAGAAAAGAGAAAAAACGUUUUCGUCCCUGUCAUUGGUGGUGGAGCUACUAGAGGUAGGUGGUAGCACUGCUGGAGGCGCCUGGAGUUUGAGGGAAAAGAAAGAAAACCCUCGAACAGAGAUGGAAUGUCCUUGAUUGGUUUAAUUUUACAUAAAUGAGAUUGAAGAGAGAUGGAUACCAUCAUCCUCAACCUGCACUACACCAAAGCCACAUAAAUGAGAACCAACCAUCAAGAACAAUCAUCACACCGGUCUCGCCUAGCCAUCGAACCCACUCCCUUCCUAACAACCACGGGUUCCCCAUCAUCAUCUCGCCAAUCCAUUUUAACACACUAUCAUCAUCAUAGAGUCAGCAAAAACUCACACAGAAUACCACAUAAUGAAACCAACAGUACCUGUCCUCUAUUCAUCCCUCACCUGCGUCAAAUGAGACCAACCCAUCAAAACCAGAUUCAAUACCUUAGUGUUGGUUUCGUUUUCUUGAGUCUUGGAAGAACACAGGUUUAAUCCAUAAACAGUUUCUCCCAAAUUUUGAUUCCCCUCGUCUACGAAAGAGAUGAAGCAAACCCAACUGUUUUGAGUUGCUCACGGCGCCACCAUCGUCGCUCUUCACCUUGUUCCUCUCGGUCUGGGCAAUUCUGAUUCCCUGCCUACCUUCUUCCCCCCUUUGCUUUAGAGUGUUAAGGUUGGGAAUUCCCCCAAUCCGCAAGUUACGUGAGUCGAAAUCGCAACCCCCUCUGUGGCGGUGACCACGAAUGCGAAGAGGAGGAAAGGAUUUUCCUUGUUGGCGACUCACAGUAGCUGUGACUUGUGGAUUCAGUGGCGGCGACUUCCUUCUCUUUGGCGAUGACGACUCCGGUGAGGAUCAGGAGAUAGAAAUAGAAUAGAAGAGGGGAAGGGCUUCCCUGCUCGCAAGCGAAGGUGAAAGGCGGUGGCGUGGUGGUCAGCAACCACCUUGGCGGCGACUGGUAACACCGAUGGCUCCGGCGUCAGCGAAGUCGCCGGCGAAAAAAAUUGAAGCUUUUGGAGGUCGACCUGUAUAUGGUUUCUUCAGAGGGUUGUGUGAAAGUUCAAUCGGUGAAAGGGGAAGAGGGUAUGGGAAACAGUUCUGGCAGCUUUCCUUUUCUAAGGUGGUGGCGUGAUGGCCGGUGCGAAGAAAGCAGCAGCUGCUUCGGCGGAAACCUUACAAAAGAAAAUCACACUUUUGGCCCUGGUAUCCAGAUGGCAGACCAUGUCAUGAGACCUCUUUACAGAAUGACAAUUACUGUUGCCAGCAAAGGUUGUUUUUAACGCCGUGUAUGAAAGUUAACGAAAUAUCCUUGAUUAGUUUAAUUUUACAAAUUCAAAAACCAGAUUAUUUUUAAAAAACAAAGACCUAAUUGAAAAAAACCAACAAAAAUAGAGACCAUUAAAUCUAUUUAUCUUUAAAAAAAUUAGUGAUACACAACAUUCAUUUGAUGUAGUAACAUUUGCUUUAAAUUCAUUUUAUUUAAAUUUCUAUGUCAGACUUUGAAUUAUUAAAUAUUUUGAAAAAAGUUACUUCCGACAUCUUUAGCAGAGGUUCAGUGCGAAGACCGAGGGUGGUUGUCAUUGAGUAUGUUUAUUUACCUUUCAGUCCUCUCCAUGGACACCAUAAAAAGCAUCCAUGUUAGAGUGUGAGCACAUAACAAACUGAAGAAGUGAGAGAAAGAGAUGAACAAGGUGUUUGUUUUUUCAAUUGUGAUGGCUGCAGUGGUGGCGAUGGAGGUGGCUCCGCCGGCAGAGGGUGUGACUUGUAGCCCUGUGGAGCUGAGUCCUUGUUCGGCGGCAAUAAUUUCGUCAUCUCCACCAACAACUGCUUGCUGCCAGAAACUGAGGGAACAGACGCCAUGUCUAUGUGGUUACCUCAAAAACCCUAGUUUCAGGAAUUAUGUCAACUCUCCUGGUUCCAGAAGGGUUUCUAGUUCAUGUGGAGUUCGCUUUCCAAUUUGUAUAACUAAAUAAACUCAUGUUAGGUAUUAUAAUAAACUUUCACACGUCUGCUACGACAUGCGAUAGUUUUUUCAGUGAUCCAAUUCAUGCAUGUAAUAAACUGAUGUUGCAGCGUUAGUUUCAAGGAAUUAAUACGAUGUGUGAAUGAGAUGUUGAAGAAGUUAAUGGAAUAAAUCUGGUUCUUGAUUCUCUCAUUUUCUCUUGUUCUAUAGAAACAAUUAUUUUUUUCUUUUGUCAACA